Non-coding RNA from Camelus ferus (Wild Bactrian camel), 74 nucleotides. The record is from Rfam. Lineage: Eukaryota; Metazoa; Chordata; Mammalia; Artiodactyla; Camelidae.
GGAGGAUACAGUUCAGUGGUUAGAGCACAUGCUUAGCAUGCACGAGGUUCUGGGUUCAAUCCCCAGUACCUCCA